UAAGACAGAGGGGGCAAGCGUUGUCCGGAGUUACUGGGCGUAAAGCGCACGCAGGCGGUGCGGGAAGUGGUGUGUGAAAGCGUGCGGCUCAACUGCACGAGGCCAUGCCAAACUCCCACACUCGAGUCCGGGAGAGGUCCGUCGAAUUGCCGGUGUAGUGGUGAAAUGCGUAGAGAUCGGCAGGAAGACCAAAGGUGAAGACAGCGGACCGGCCCGGUACUGACGCUCAGGUGCGAAGGCGUGGGGAGCAAACCGGAUUAGAUACCCGGGUAGUCCACGCGGUAAACGAUGACGACUCGGCAUAUAGGGGCGUCCCGCCCCCGUGUGCCCUAGCCAACGCGAUAAGUCGUCCGCCUGGGAAGUACGAGCGCAAGCUUAAAACUCAAAGGAAUUGACGGGGCCCGCACAAGCAGCGGAGCGUGUGGUUUAAUUCGAUGCAACACGCAGAACCUCACCCAGAUUUGACAUGCUGGUGCAUCCCGUGGA
RNAcentral lists this ribosomal RNA (486 nucleotides) under uncultured Heliothrix sp. RNAcentral's name for it is "bacterial SSU rRNA". It matches the Rfam family "Bacterial small subunit ribosomal RNA", at positions 521 to 1004 of the family's 1533-position model. Lineage: Bacteria; Bacillati; Chloroflexota; Chloroflexia; Chloroflexales; Roseiflexaceae. The record is from RNAcentral.